RNAcentral lists this transfer RNA (70 nucleotides) under Ascaphus montanus (Rocky Mountain tailed frog). RNAcentral describes it as "tRNA-Gln". It matches the Rfam family "tRNA". Rfam says of the family: Transfer RNA (tRNA) molecules are approximately 80 nucleotides in length. Their secondary structure includes four short double-helical elements and three loops (D, anti-codon, and T loops). Lineage: Eukaryota; Metazoa; Chordata; Amphibia; Anura; Ascaphidae. The record is from RNAcentral.
AGAAAAUAGUAUAAUGGAAAUACGGAGGGUUUUGAUCUCUCAGCUGUAGGUUCAAAUCCUGUUUUUUUAG